UUCUUCCUCUGCUUUUGUUUUUCUCGUCGAAGCCGGCGCUCCCUGGCGGAGAGGAAGAAGGAAGAGAGAAAAGAAGCAGAGGAGAUCGAUUCAGUCCGGCCUUAUCUCCCAUGGCGUCGCCGAAGGAACGCGAGAGCUUCGUCUACACUGCCAAGCUCGCCGAGCAGGCCGAGCGCUACGAUGAUAUGGUGGAGGUGAUGAAGAAGGCGGCGAAGCUCGACGUCGAGCUCACCGUGGAGGAGCGGAACCUGCUGUCGGUGGGAUACAAGAACGUGAUUGGCGCGCGGCGGGCCGCGUGGAGGGUGUUCAACUCGAUUGCGCAGAAGGAGGAGGCUAGGGGGAACGAGCAGCACGCGAAGAUGAUAAAGGAGUACAGGCUGAAGGUGGAGUCGGAGCUCUCUGACAUCUGCAGCGACAUCAUGACUGUGAUCGACGAGCAUCUCAUUCCGUCUUCGACGGCUGCGGAACCGUUGGUCUUCUACAACAAGAUGAAGGGAGAUUAUUACCGCUACCUGGCAGAAUUCAAGACUGGAAACGAAAAAAAGGAUGUUGCAGAUCAGUCCCUGAAAGCGUAUGAGGCAGCUACAAGUACAGCUGAGUCUGAAUUGUCUCCUACACAUCCAAUUCGACUGGGUUUGGCAUUGAACUUCUCUGUGUUCUACUAUGAGAUCUUGAACUCGCCAGAAAGGGCUUGCCAUCUUGCUAAGCAAGCUUUUGAUGAAGCGAUUUCUGAGUUGGAUACAUUGAGUGAGGAAUCAUACAAAGAUAGCACACUGAUUAUGCAACUUCUGAGGGAUAACCUCACAUUGUGGACCAAUGACAUCCCUGAGGAUAGUGGUAAUAUUAAGUAUAUAAUCAGGAUUUAUGCACAUGCCAUGUUAAAUAAUGUUGCAUUAUAGAAUUCAUGUUAUGUUAUUGUGCUAUUUCAUGGCAUAUUUGCAUGUAAACUAUAAAUAAGCUUCAGGCACUAAAAGUGAUUGCCUAUGGUCUUUUAUAUAUGUGAGAUUCAUACCAUAUGCUACUUCAUUUUAAUUUUCACUGGAGAAAAGAACUAGGGAUAAUUCUAUAUAUUUGAUAAUCCUUCACUCUUAUUUCUUUCGGAAUGUGUUCAAUAUUGACUGAGAAUUGAGAAAGUAGUGUCAUCAGGAAGUUUUAUUUUAUGCAUAGAGAAAUUAUUUGGAAGUACCCAACCUAGCAAUCAACAAAACCCUUAGAGCGAAAUCCCUUAGAGUGUUUUUUCUAUUAUCAGAACAUGGACAGAAAUAAUGGCAAUAGCAGCAACGGGUUCUAAAGUUCCAACUCCAGUCUUCUAUGUUCAUUUACUUGGUGAAAUUGAGUACAAUAAUAGCAUGCAUUUUAGGUUGCAAUUUAUUUUAACUAGAGGUGAAUAUCCAAAACCUAAAGUUGAAAAAUAAGAUUGAAAGACACCGAAUUAACUAUAUAAAUUCAGUUUAUCAAUUCAAUAUGGGUUUGAAAAUAGAGAAAUUUCAGGUUCAUUUGGGUACGGUUUGGAGGCUCAUUAGAUUAGUCUGAAAAUUUUCAAAUUAUUUUGGUUUGGUUCAAUUUGAAAUUUUUCUAGUGGUUUAAUAUAACAAACAUGGCCAGCCUUAUAGCACACUGUUUUAUGAGUUGAGCAAUACUGUUUUCUUUGGCUUUUUCAUGUCAAUAAUUUAAUAGUGACUUAGUCGGGAGGUUGAACCUAAUCUUUACCUUAGGAAACAAUAAAAGAUGACUUAUGUAUGAUGCCUACUUUCUUAUACAAUCUAGGAACCCAUGAAAUUUCAGUUCAUUCUAGGCCACUCAACUCUCAACCCUUAUGUGUAAUAUAAUUGUUGUUUGCUAAAACAAAACAAUUCCUUCUCUUAUGCUUGAGCUAAUGAAGAAUAAUGUCUUUUCUUGCUUUGUGAUUGCUGUUUUGAUUGGCCACAGCAGAUGAUCCUGCAAAGGGUGGAGCUGGUGAAGAUGCUCAGUGAAUUUUACCAGCUGUAGGACAAGGACGACCAGGUAAAGAAUGUUGUGAAAGAACAAUAUGGCAUGUGGGCUGGUGAUAGAUUAUUUCAAAUAGUAUUUGUCUACUGGAGUUGCAUCACCUUUGAGUUUACAUCUGUCGGAUGGCUUGAUAUUGACAAUGUCAUGUUUCUAGUAAGAUAUAUAUGGACAUUAGAGUGGCUCUAAUUCCAAUGUUCUGAAGUCCGUACUACUAGGCGUUGAGAAUUUUUGGUCUGUUUGAGAGUUUUUCAUGUUUACAUUUUAGUUCCUCAUACGUUUGCAACUAUUGAGCUUUUAUAAUUAUGCAAUUGGAGAAGUGUUAGGGAUAA
Molecule: RNA transcript, 2318 nt
Organism: Zingiber officinale
Lineage: Eukaryota; Viridiplantae; Streptophyta; Magnoliopsida; Zingiberales; Zingiberaceae
Gene name: 14-3-3 protein 9-like
Exons: 6
Source: RefSeq, a predicted model, not a curated record